GGACUACAGGGGUUUCUAAUCCCGUUUGCUCCCCUGGCUUUCGCGCCUCAGCGUCAGGUGGGGCCCAGCACGUCGCUUUCGCCACCGGCGUUCCUUCCGAUAUCAACGCAUUUCACCGCUCCACCGGAAGUUCCACAUGCCCCUACCCCCCUCUAGACUGCCGGUAUCCCAGGCAAUUACACGGUUGAGCCGUGUGCUUUCACCCCGGACCAGACAGCCCGCCUACGCGCCCUUUAAGCCCAGUGAUUCCGAACAACGUUCGCACGGUUCGUCUUACCGCGGCUGCUGGCAC
This 292-nucleotide ribosomal RNA is filed under the name uncultured Planctomycetota bacterium. RNAcentral describes it as "uncultured planctomycete partial 16S ribosomal RNA". Lineage: Bacteria; Pseudomonadati; Planctomycetota. The record is from RNAcentral.